ACCAUUAGAUGGUUGACAUGUGGCAGACGCGUAAGACAACAAAUGGAAUGCUGGAUGUGCGGCACUUGUUGCACUGGAAAAGCACUAGCUCCCCUUUAAUGUAUUAUAUAGAUUAUAAAAGGCAUUUAAGAUAUUAUAUAUUAUAAUUUUUAUAUAUUUUAUUAUUUUUUAAAAAAUAAUAUUUUAUUAUUAUAUUUUUUUCGUUCUUCUCCAACCUGCUGCCUAUGGCUUCUCCGUGCUCACCCCUCCCUCGAGUGACGCCACCCGCAGAUCCUUCACGUGGCAUCCCCCCCUCCCUGGGCC
Molecule: long non-coding RNA, 303 nt
Filed under: Elaeis guineensis (African oil palm)
Lineage: Eukaryota; Viridiplantae; Streptophyta; Magnoliopsida; Arecales; Arecaceae
Description: long non-coding RNA (EGUI_LNC006103)
Source: RNAcentral